GGGUCAUUAUGAUGAUUGUAAUAGAGAUUAUACAGGAGUAUAAUCAUAGGGCAUACCUUUAUGACUUUUGACUAUUGUAAAAAAAAAAAGAUACAUUUUUAUGUACACAUUCUACUUCUCUUGGCCUACAAUAAAGAUACAGACUUUUAGUUUUAAUUUACAUUGAGUGAAAUAUACAAAUAUAUCUCUAAAGCUUUAUGAGUGAGAAGACUAGGGAGGAGGAAAUUGUGUGUGUGUGUGCCUACAUUAAGUAGGAAAGGCCAUUAUUGGAACAUAAGAAAUGAUCUGUCCGAUUGGUUCUCCCACCGCCUCCCGGCGGGUCUCGACAGCUCCAGCGGCGGGAGGAGCGGUAGCGGUUUGGCAGCCCAGCUUCGCGAAGGCUCUCCGUGCCGCUGCCUGCAGGCACCCGGUUCGCGUCCUGCCCCUGCCAAGAUGCCCAUGAGGGAGGUCAGCUCCGCCGAGGGGGCGGUGAAGGAGGAGCCCAAGAGGAGAUUGGCGCAGUUGUCGGCUAAACCUGCUCCUGCAAAAGUGGAAGCAAAGCCAAAAAAGGCGUCGGGAAAGGAUAAAUCUUCAGACAAAAAAGUGCAAGCAAAAGGGAAAAGGGGAGUGAAGGGAAAGCAGGCUGAAGUGGCUAACCAAAAAACUAAAGAAGAGUUACCUGCAGAAAAUGGAGAAACUAAAACAGGAGAACCCAGCCUCUGAUGAAGCAGGAGAAAAAGAAGCCUGAAUAAUGUCAUAUCCCAUGUCUUAUCAGUGGUCCCUGUCUCCCUUCUUGUACAAUCCAGAGGAAUAUUUUUAUCAACUAUUUUGUAAAUGCGAGUUUUUUAGUAGCUCUAGAAACAUUUUUAAGAAGGAGGGAAUCCCACCUCAUCCCAUUUUUAAAGUGUAAAUGCUUUUUUUUAAGAGGUGAUAUCAUUCACUGGUUGUUUAUUUUUUGGUACAACCAGAAAAUAGUGUGGGAUAUUGAAUUACAAGAGGCUUUGACUGUCUUGAGUAUCAGCUUAACAUUCCAUAGAUGGGGGUUAGUUUUUAUAUCCUGUAAUGCAAAGUAUACUAAGUGGCAAUAUGGAUCACAGUCCUGCAUUUAAUGUCUUGAACAUUUAAAAUUACUUCUAUUCCCAUGUUGUUUUUUAGUAGAAUUUGUCAGUGACCAGCACUGACCAAGGGUGUUAGGACCCGCACCGGAGAAUCAGGAGACGGCGAGAAGACCACUC
Carlito syrichta (Philippine tarsier) is the source of this 1214-nucleotide RNA transcript. It is a transcript of the gene named non-histone chromosomal protein HMG-14 pseudogene, with no coding region annotated. The record is from RefSeq and is a predicted model, not a curated record. Lineage: Eukaryota; Metazoa; Chordata; Mammalia; Primates; Tarsiidae. The transcript has a single exon.